Molecule: long non-coding RNA, 653 nt
Organism: Rosa chinensis
Lineage: Eukaryota; Viridiplantae; Streptophyta; Magnoliopsida; Rosales; Rosaceae
Exons: 4
Source: RefSeq, a predicted model, not a curated record
GCUAUAUGAGUCUCAACAUCAUCAGAGCCCCAAAACAGUGAACCGAUCUUUCUACUUCAUAUGUGUUUCAUCCCUUAACAGUAAACCGAUCCUUCUCAAUAUUUGCCCCGAAAACGCUUUUGGAUCUCUCUCAGAGCGAAGAGUGCUGCUUUGGUUUGUUUGUUGAUCCACAGUUAUUAGCGCAGAGAGGAGCUGUUGCUUGCGAUUUGCGAAUUUGGAUUUGGAUCAAGGAAUUUAUGCACUUGCAACUGUCUUGAUUGAAUCAGAUGAGAGAGUUGUAAUGAAUCAAACCACAUAUUACUACACCAGCAAGCAAUGUCCUUAUUCAUUGCUUCAUAAAUAUGUUCGGUACCAAGUUUUGGCAAGUAGCUCAGCUGCAUCCUAAACACGUAUUUUUCUGACACAGAUAUGGCAUGGAGGCCAUCUACUUUGAUGAAGGUGUAAGGAACUCAAGACAACACUAACUGGAAACAAGAGCAUUGGAUGUGACCAUUUGUGAGGACUUGAUAGCAGUAAAUAGAACAAAGAACCAGCUAAAGAUGCGGAGUCUGAACUGCUAUUGUCGACAAGUUUUUUGCGAAGAAAAAAAAAAACAAAGAACCAGCUAAAGAUAAGGAGUCUGAACUGCUAUUGUCGACAAGUUUUUUGCGAAG